GACGAACGCUGGCGGCGUGCCUAAUACAUGCAAGUCGAGCGAAGUUUUUCUUUUGCUUGCACCGUCAAAACUUAGCGGCGAACGUGUGAGUAACACGUACUGAACCUGCCUCAUAGAUUGGUACAACUAUUUGAAACUAUAGCUAAUACCGGAUAACAGCAUUAACUGCAUGGUUGAUGAUUAAAAGUUGGUUUUGCUAACACUAUGAGAUGUCUUUGCGGUGCAUUGGCGAGUUGGUGGGGUAAAGGCCUACCAAGGCGGCGAUGCAUAGCCGACCUGAGAGGGGGAUCGGCCACACUGGGAGUGAGACACGGCCCUGAGACCUACGGGAGGCAGAAGUAGGGAAGCGUCGGAGAUGGGCGAAAGACUGAAGGAGCAACGCAGGGUGGGUGAAGAAGGGUUUCGGGUGGUAAAGCGCUGUUCUUAGGGAAGAACGAUUGUGUAGAAACUAUAGACAGGAGAGACGGUAGCUAACAAGAAAGCAACGGCUAACUACGUG
This 499-nucleotide ribosomal RNA is filed under the name uncultured bacterium. RNAcentral's name for it is "partial 16S ribosomal RNA". It matches the Rfam family "Bacterial small subunit ribosomal RNA", at positions 28 to 507 of the family's 1533-position model. The record is from RNAcentral.